This is a long non-coding RNA of Oncorhynchus keta (chum salmon), 678 nucleotides long. RefSeq lists it as uncharacterized. The record is from RefSeq and is a predicted model, not a curated record. NCBI's taxonomy places the organism in Eukaryota, Metazoa, Chordata, Actinopteri, Salmoniformes, Salmonidae. The transcript has 3 exons.
UAAAAAUAUGGUUGUAAAUGCAUUUACCGGUCAUUCUGAUAUUAAUGCUCGCUAUGGGAACACAGGAUGGCCGGGCAGUGAUAGUUGUACAUUUCCAUCACUCGUUGUGUUGAUUUCAUCAUGUCCAUUAGGUGAUGUUUUUACACUAUAGAAUCAUAUUGCAAGUGCGCGCGCAUUUGCAAUAUGUUUCAAUGUGCAUUUACCAUAUGAAAUUUGACAUGCUCAAAAAUGCUAAAUUGACUGGUCUGAUGGACACAGGAUGGCCGAGCAGUGAUAGUUGUACAUUUCCAUCACUCGUUGUGUUGAUUUCAUCAUGUCCAUUAGGUGAUGUUUUUUCACUAUAGAAUCAUAUUGCAAAUGCACGUGCAUUGUUGUGCAACUGGUAACCCAAAAAUAAAAAUAUGGUUGUAAAUGCAUUUACCGGUCAUUCUGAUAUUAAUGCUCGCUAUGGGAACACAGGAUGGCCGGGCAGUGAUAGUUGUACAUUUCCAUCACUCGUUGUGUUGAUUUCAUCAUGUCCAUUAGGUGAUGUUUUUACACUAUAGAAUCAUAUUGCAAGUGCGCGCGCAUUUGCAAUAUGUUUCAAUGUGCAUUUACCAUAUGAAAUUUGAAAUGCUCAAAAAUGCAAAAUUGACUGGUCUGAUGGACACAGAAUGGCCGAGCAGUGAUAGUUGUACA